UGAGGAAUAUUGGUCAAUGGGCGGAAGCCUGAACCAGCCAAGUCGCGUGAGGGAAGACGGUCCUAUGGAUUGUAAACCUCUUUUGUCGGGGAGCAAGGAUCCGCACGAGUGCGGAGGCGAGAGUACCCGAAGAAAAAGCAUCGGCUAACUCCGUGCCAGCAGCCGCGGUAAUACGGAGGAUGCGAGCGUUAUCCGGAUUUAUUGGGUUUAAAGGGUGCGCAGGCGGAGGAUCAAGUCAGCGGUAAAAUAGCGGGGCUCAACCCCGUCGAGCCGUUGAAACUGGUUUUCCUAGAGUGAGCGAGAAGUAUGCGGAAUGCGUGGUGUAGCGGUGAAAUGCAUAGAUAUCACGCAGAACUCCGAUUGCGAAGGCAGCAUACCGGCGCUCAACUGACGCUCAGGCACGAAAGCGUGGGUAUCGAACAGGAUUAGAUACC
Molecule: ribosomal RNA, 434 nt
Filed under: uncultured bacterium
Lineage: Bacteria
Description: bacterial SSU rRNA
Rfam family: Bacterial small subunit ribosomal RNA
Source: RNAcentral